CUCACAACCGGCGCAACGUCAUAGAAUGUCUCUGAACAGGUUCACGCCCACUUUUGGGGGAAAACAAACCGCCAUACAGCAUCGGAUCGAGGAAGUGGACUAACCUUACAACAUGCCAAAGAGUUGUUGUGUGGUUGGGUGCACCAAUAAUGUUUGUAAAAACCCAAAUUUAGCCCAGGCUACCUGCCACCAUCAUCCAUAUCUUGCUGUUAUGGAAAUAUUAUGAAUUACGGAUGAUGCUAUCGAAAGCGAAGCCAGGCUAGUUGUAUGGCUGGACAGAAAAGUGCACUCAGUACUCUAAAUAUAAGGACAUAAUAUAUACAUUUAAAGAUGUUUACUUUCAAACGAAGUAAAAUCAUUCACUGGUUUACAUGGUGAUUAGAUUAGGUAUGAGUAAAUGUCCGGCAAGACACCUCUGGCCACUGGGUGGGGUUGUUACACCAAUUUGACGCUGGGAUAAUGAGUUUUUAAAUUGACCAAAUUAAGUUUAUGGAUGUAUCUUUCACGCUCUAUGGCAGGCAGGGUCGACAUAUAAUUACUUGACAUGAUUAAUCCUAGUGAUUACUUAAGUUAUUCACGUCUGUCGGCUGUGUAUGGACGUUGCUUUUUGCCGCUAAUUUGUAUUGAAGCCUAUGGGAAGUCUAGUUUGUUUUCCCCCAAAAAGGGGCGGUAACGAAAUUGACAGUUAAGUUCCCGGAUGUGCCGGUAGCGCGUAUGGCAUAUGUGAAAGUCUAAACGAAAGUGAAAGAUUGUUACAUUGUGUUGGAAAACAGUUCGGAACUAAACUUAAAAUGGCUCAAACUACAGACAAUGUGAUCACUGAAGGACGAGAAGACAAACUUCCUACGAUUACAGGAAAUAAAUAUUUCAUCCUUUCACCUGGGAAGACAUUCAAGCUGAAAGAGGACAUCAUGAAAGAUGUCUUACAACAAUUAUCAGGUAAAAGGUGCGGACCGUGGAGGUGUGUGGCGUCAUUUUGGUUUUCUGCUUUAUUGUUUCAAGGGCAGGAACUGACAUUGAUGCUGCACUAAAUGAACUUGAUGAACUCUCAGGGUCCAAACCAGCUCUUUUCAUGGUGCUUCAUCACACAUUUGACCCAGAGAAGACUGUGCCAGACAGCAGCAGAUUUGUGAGCAGGAAGGAUACACUCACUGUGGACUGUCUGUUCCACGAGGAUGAAGGACUUCUGAAUUGUGUGAAGAAUAAAGAAGCUCAGACCAGAAUCCAACAAUGGCUGAAGCCACAGGUAUCCAGUUCUUCAGUAAAAAAAGAUGCUUAUUAAAAUGACAAAAUAUGUAAAUGCACUCUUCAGUGAUCUUGCGUCCUUGUGUUCUCGUUCUACGUCAUCAUCAACCGUCGAGGUUCAGUUCCAAUUCUCAAGAAUGCGAGUACAGAUGACCCAUGAAAGUUCCCGGAUGUGUUCUUGAUAUCGAGGAUGAAAGUCUGCAGUAUUUUUUAUUGGCAUAUUACAAUGAAUCUUAACAUAGUCAUAGUUAAACACUAUAUAACGCUGUAAAAUAAAACAUAUGAUAUGAAAAUAAUAUCUAUAAUAGUGUUAAAUGUUUUAAUUUUUUUAAGUUUUAAAGUUAUGACAUUUGUUUGUAAUGUUAUGUUAUAUUUAUUGUUCAUUGGCCGCUGCUUAUGCUGAGACUAUGCGGUCAGUUAAGCAAGAACGCAGUACAUCUCAAUUCUCACAAGGAUGCGUUCUGUGUUCGCGCGUCCUUCCGAGUUCGUUCUUCCAAAGAAGCCUUGCAAGACUGGUCUCCACGAGAACACAAGUCCGUUCUCUGCGUUCUUGGAAUUGAGGAACAGCAUGAUUUAAAAAAAAAAAUUGUAAUCUGAAUCUUUAAAAUAUCUUUAAAAAAAUCAUCUGCUUUCAAACAUAGUGCCUGAAGACAUAGUGCGCCGAUCAAAGACCCAUGUUUACCCUAGGAUUACUCUGUCUUACCUGUAUUAUACCUGUUUACUGAUGUUUUGACCCUGCCUGUGUUUUUGACCACGUCUGUUAAAUUAAGCUUUGCACAUGGAUCCGCACGUCUCACGUCUCGUUUGCCCCGUAACAGAUAGGCCUAUAUUCAGUGUAAUCAAUGCAUUAGAUUGAUGUUCAUGAUUUGUUUUCUUUGUUUGAAAUGUUCAAAAACUCUUUUAGUUUAAACAUUUUUCUUUAAGUUCCUACAUUACCCUAUUGUCCCAAUUAUGAGAAUGCUGUGAAAAAGGAAUUGUUGAGAUCACAUCAAGUGCAUGUCAUACUUUCCCAUCUGAGGAUCAAGUAUGAAAUACAUUAUCAGUUUCACUUGACUGUAUCAAAAAUUAAGUAAUUAAAUGUAUUAAAGCACA
Onychostoma macrolepis is the source of this 2337-nucleotide RNA transcript. It is a transcript of the gene named C-X-C motif chemokine 10, with no coding region annotated. The record is from RefSeq and is a predicted model, not a curated record. The transcript has 5 exons. Lineage: Eukaryota; Metazoa; Chordata; Actinopteri; Cypriniformes; Cyprinidae.